Molecule: long non-coding RNA, 1034 nt
Organism: Pangasianodon hypophthalmus (striped catfish)
Lineage: Eukaryota; Metazoa; Chordata; Actinopteri; Siluriformes; Pangasiidae
Exons: 4
Source: RefSeq, a predicted model, not a curated record
GAGAGAGAGAGAGAGAGAGAGAGAUGUUGCUAAAGUUCGGCGCUGUGCCUCGAGAAGCCCGCGGUGUUGGAAAAGGGUACGACGGAGAUUUCAGGGAAAAGAAGAGGCAGAAACUCGGUGAACAACCCGACAAAAAGUUUUACUUCCAACGGCAACAGUAAUAAUUCUUGGCGAGCACGACGGAGCAAACCACUGCUGGAGCUUAUUUGCAUGAAAUAAAGCAGCAUUCAGACAGAGGCAGGACCAGUAAAUAUCUCCACUCACUCUGCUCCCUUUUGGAGGACUGCAAUCUCUUUUUUGGUUAAAGAAAUUAACUGUUGCAUACGUCCAGCUUCCUUCUGGCAUGAAGAGUUACAACUGUGACAGUUUGCCACCUCGAAGGAAUACAACUGGGUCACUGGAUCUCAACUCAACUGAACACCUACAAGAAAAAGUUUGGAGUGAUGUGUUAGAAACCACUCUUCACCAUCAUCGUAAUCAAAACACCAACUGAGGGAAGCCUUUGGAAAAUCGGUGUGCCAUUUCUUGUACAAUCCAUGCCAAGUUGGUGCACUUCAUGACAGCUGAGACAGCUCGAGCUGUAGGAUAAGGCGGCACAGGUCAGAGGUCACCAGAGCAUGCUGGACAAGAAGCUUGUUCGUCCUACUGACUGACUCUGUUGUUUAAUCGUGUAUGAAAUAAAUCGUAUCACAGGUUCUUAUGUGGCUGUGUGGAAUUUAGAGUAUUUUAGGCACUUGAUCUCUUUUUCUUUAAUCUAGUAUGUAUGUAUCUAGUUUUAUGAACUUAGGUGAACUCAUUUUUUUUAUUUAUGCAUUUAUUUCUGUCUUUUUUCCUUUCUUCCCCCAAAAAUAAUCUUCCAAAAGAAAACGUUUAAUCUCUGCAUUUUAAUUGUUUGUAAGCUAUAUGUAUUUUCCCUUUAGUUAAUUACAUGUUUUAUUCAAUUAAUCUUUUUGUCUUGGCUUCUAAACACCCAUUAACCACAUUGUAAUUUAUUUAUCUAUUUAUUUACAUAAUAAAAACAAAGCGAAACAAUA